CUUGAGUGGCCUUCUGCGGGAUUAGCUCACAAAAAGUUCCAUCAACGGGAUGCGUUACAUAUCAUAUCUUUAGCAGCUGUGCCUCCCUGCCUACGUCAACAGUUGGUAAAAUCCCAGCAUCACAGCAGUUGACAACAACUGGCCAAGCAAGGUUCAAAGCACUGACAGUGUACGUAUGGGGGUUUGCAAGGAAACCAAGACCACGACUUUAUAGUACCAGUUUCGACAGGAAUGAGCGGAGUUUCAGAGCACAAAUGACACCCGAAGCGGGGGCUCUUCCCCUCCGAAAAACACUGGGUUUGGGAUUUGAAAGAAGGGCCAGCAAAUGGAAAUUCACUCCAUCACACUCCGCACAAUGACUUAAAAAAUGAGCAAGCUCUCUUUCCCCACCUCCCACACUGAGGUGAUCUGUUGAGAUUACCCGCACUACGCAGUAGAGCUAGUUACCAAAUACCCUGCAUAUCCUGUUCCGGCUAAUUUCACUGAG
RNAcentral lists this small RNA (487 nucleotides) under Histoplasma capsulatum var. duboisii H88. RNAcentral describes it as "Histoplasma capsulatum H88 hypothetical RNA". Lineage: Eukaryota; Fungi; Ascomycota; Eurotiomycetes; Onygenales; Ajellomycetaceae. The record is from RNAcentral.